UACGUAGGGUGCGAGCGUUAAUCGGAAUUACUGGGCGUAAGGCGUGCGCAGGCGGUUCGUUGUGUCGGCGGGGAAAGCCCCGGGCUUAACCUGGGAAUGGCAGUGGAUACUGGAAAGCUAGAGUGCGGUAGAGGGUAGUGGAAUUCCCGGUGUAGCAGUGAAAUGCGUAGAGAUCGGGAGGAACACCAGUGGCGAAGGCGGCUACCUGGACCAGCACUGACACUGAGGCGCGAAAGCUAGGGGAGCAAACGGG
Molecule: ribosomal RNA, 253 nt
Filed under: uncultured bacterium
Lineage: Bacteria
Description: partial 16S ribosomal RNA
Rfam family: Bacterial small subunit ribosomal RNA
Source: RNAcentral